RNAcentral lists this ribosomal RNA (373 nucleotides) under uncultured eukaryote. RNAcentral describes it as "partial 18S ribosomal RNA". It matches the Rfam family "Eukaryotic small subunit ribosomal RNA", at positions 592 to 976 of the family's 1831-position model. The record is from RNAcentral.
CAAUAGCGUAUAUUAAAGUUGUUGCAGUUAAAAAGCUCGUAGUUGAAUUUUUGCUUGCCGCCGAUGUCGGAACUUCCGUACGUUCGGCGGCGAGCAUCCUUGGGUGGAACCUGUGUGGCAUUAGGUUGUCGUGCAGGGGAUGCUCAUCGUUUACUGUGAAAAAAUUAGAGUGUUCAAAGCAGGCUUACGCCGUUGAAUAUAUUAGCAUGGAAUAAUAAGAUAGGACCUUGGUACUAUUUUGUUGGUUUGCGCACCGAGGUAAUGAUUAACAGGGACAGUUGGGGGUAUUCGUAUUCCAUUGUCAGAGGUGAAAUUCUUGGAUUUCUGGAAGACGAACUACUGCGAAAGCAUUUACCAAGGAUGUUUUCAUUAA